RNAcentral lists this ribosomal RNA (253 nucleotides) under uncultured bacterium. RNAcentral's name for it is "partial 16S ribosomal RNA". It matches the Rfam family "Bacterial small subunit ribosomal RNA", at positions 524 to 776 of the family's 1533-position model. The record is from RNAcentral.
UACGAAGGGGGCUAGCGUUGCUCGGAAUCACUGGGCGUAAAGGGCGCGUAGGCGGCCUUCUAAGUCAGACGUGAAAUCCCCCGGCUUAACCUGGGAACUGCGUCUGAUACUGGAAGGCUUGAGUGCGGGAGAGGGAUGUGGAAUUCCAGGUGUAGCGGUGAAAUGCGUAGAUAUCUGGAGGAACACCGGUGGCGAAGGCGGCAUCCUGGACCGACACUGACGCUGAGGCGCGAAAGCUAGGGUAGCAAACGGG